Molecule: transfer RNA, 72 nt
Filed under: Camelus bactrianus (Bactrian camel)
Lineage: Eukaryota; Metazoa; Chordata; Mammalia; Artiodactyla; Camelidae
Also listed under: 2 other names
Rfam family: tRNA
About the family: Transfer RNA (tRNA) molecules are approximately 80 nucleotides in length. Their secondary structure includes four short double-helical elements and three loops (D, anti-codon, and T loops).
Source: Rfam by way of RNAcentral
GUGGGUACAGCUCAGUGGUAGAGCACAUGCUUAGCAUGGAUGAGGUCCUGAGUUCAAUCCCCAGUAUCUCCA